This 203-nucleotide ribosomal RNA is filed under the name uncultured bacterium. RNAcentral describes it as "partial 16S ribosomal RNA". It matches the Rfam family "Bacterial small subunit ribosomal RNA", at positions 524 to 721 of the family's 1533-position model. The record is from RNAcentral.
UACGUAGGGCGCAAGCGUUGUCCGGAAUUAUUGGGCGUAAAGAGCUCGUAGGCGGUUUGUCGCGUCUGCUGUGAAAACUGGAGGCUCAACCUCCAGCCUGCAGUGGGUACGGGCAGACUAGAGUGCGGUAGGGGAGAUUGGAAUUCCUGGUGUAGCGGUGGAAUGCGCAGGAAUAUCGAGGAGGAACACCGAUGGCGGAAAGG